AUUGAAGGGAGGGGGAAACAGAGGGAAUGGAGGGAUCCUGCUACCUGCUAUAUAAGGCCUGAAAAUAUUUGGGAAAUAUCAUAUUUGUUUCUGUCGUUGAAAGGAAAAGAUACUUCAAAAGUUGUGAUUAUCACAUGUUGAUGUACGACAAGUAUGGGUUACCACGUGUUCGUCCGAUUGUUUCGUCAAGUUUAUUUUCAACUAACUGAUGUAUCCAAGAAAUUCUCAAGUUGUUGAUGCUGAAGUGGAAUUUCUGUGUUGCAGUUUCACUAAGUUAGUGAUGAUUUACAUCUGAACAACCUUGCUGGACAUAGAUCAUAGUUUUUCACUCCCUUCUGUGGAUUCUGCUUGCUUGAUGAGUUGCUGACACCUGAUUCACUUGGUUUGGGAGAUUACUGUGUCACUGGUACUCAGUUUUUAUUCUCUGGUAACCAUAAUACUUAGGAGAUCCUUGAAAGGAAAUUUUAAAUCUGCAGGUUCACUUUAUGUCCAAUUAUGCUGUCUGCUCUUGACUGUUGUAUGUUGCAUUCAGGUGCUAACAUGAUGCUGCCCAGUCUCCAGUGUUGCUCUUGGAGGGUGUUGGACUUGUUUGGUUUUAGAUCGUGUGGGACUUUGUGGCUUUCUUGAGGUUAUGUUGCGUCGUGUCGGAUGUUCUAUCUCCAGGGUGUCAUUUCGGUACCGUCGCCAAAGCAUCCAAUAAGAUAGGUAUUACAGGGUGUUUAAAAUAUAGGAGAGGUGAGGUUGUCGUAAGUUGUCUAAUCAUCUGGCGUCGACAAAUCUUUCCCUCGUCAUAGAUGGAUGCGAAAGUUUGUUAUAGCUGUAAACACUGCCAAGACCAGCUUUUGUUUUUCUACUAUUAGAAUUACGGGUGGAUCCUACCUACAUGGCAGGCACAGGUUUGGAUAUGCAGUUCUGUGAUGCAGAUGAAGAUUCUUUAGACUAUGUUAGGUUCUAUUGGAUUUGGUUCCAUUAUGGAAACGAUUUCUUUAAGUCGCUAGGUCUACUUCUAUUAUGAACUAAGGUAAUUCACUUCUUUUUGUGGAAAGUUGACGUGGUUCUUACUUUGAGAAAUUUUGUGGCACACUUAUCUGUUUAAUCAGUGGGGUAAGGGAAUGUUGUAGGAUGCAGGGGCGGCCAAUAUUAACAUUAGCAACCACUUAACAUGUAAGGGAAACAUGUAAAAUGAAUUUAUUUCUAAUGAUGAGAUUUAUGAAUGUUAUAUGUGGGAACUUAAAGGUUUAAGAAAAUUUUGGAGGGCGUUAGUACACCUGUUAUCGAGCCUCAGUUUAAGGAUGUCAUUGGCAUUAUUCAUCUGUAAAAUUGUCAAGUAAUGUGUGAUGCGGUGUUCAAAGGAACAUUUAUAUCCUAAGUUCCAUGCUAUGUGUGAACAAAAGAGCCAUAAGACUAAAAUCCGCCUUCAGGGUUUGUUAAGCAUCCAUGAUUUUUGGUAAGUGUUUAUAUAUUCUUGUUUAUAGUGGUUGGGAACAAGUAAAAUAGACAAAUAUCGCGGUCUGAACGGAAAUGUUAAAUAUAUUUGUUCGUGUACAUAUAAUAUGGUUAUUUCCUUCGUGUAUCACCCCGAUGCAUUUGUUAUUUACUACAUUUCAUAACUUUUAUGUUAUGAAAAACUUUGAAGAAUGGUCAUAGUAAUUGUAAUUAACAUAAAACAAUCUUUGCAAAAUGUUUUAAUCAUAUUUAUAUAUUAUUUAGCAAAAUUCCGACGAUUCAAUUACACGUUAAGUAUAGAUAAAAUUGUCAAGAUAAAACAAUUUGAAAUUGUUAAUUCGUGUGCAUUUUAUCACUAAUCGAACUCUAAAUUAUCUAUAAUUUUAUUAAUAUUUUAAUCACUAAGCUAUUUGCGUUAUUUGAUUUAUGUUGUAAUAUGACACUUAAUCAACUCUAUAUAAAACUUACUUAAAAGUGACCAAAAAUUAUGGUAACAACUUCAUUACCCACCAUUGCUUAGUGGUUGAAACAUUUAAUGUACAAAAUGUUUUUUGGGAAAAAAAAUUACUCAUUUCAUUGAGCAAUUUCUAUUACACUUUUUUUCUAUGAAUGGAACAUGUCAUUACUUGUACUUAAAAAAAUUUCUGUUAUAAAACUUCAUAUGUUCUAUGUUCAUUUCAAAGAAAACAGCGAUUAUUAAAAUGGUAAUCAUGACGGAAUGAUAGCGCACUGGCCAUGGGUAUAAUGUUUGAUCUACGACAGAGUUGAAUUAAUAUGUAGAAUAAAAUUAAUUAACCCAAAAUAUAAUUGCACUUUCAAUUAGUGUAAGAAAACAAACAAUCGUGGAAGGUUAAAGUAGGAAACAAUUAACAAAAAUUGUAGUGGUCAAAUUAAUUAAAAUUAAUUAAACUAUAGUACAAAUAAAAUUGUUUCGUAUGUCAAUUUAUUCUAAAUACGAUAUCUCUUGAUCGCGAAAUAUCGGAAGUUAGACAUUACUUGGAAUCGAACCUGACACUUACAAGACGCCAUCCCACUGAGCUAUAAUACAACUGUAUCGAUAUAGUGCGACACUUGAGGGUCUAUUGACGUAUGCUCAGCAAAUCAUGUUAUUUAGGAAUACCUUACCAAAAAAAACAAAAAACAUCAGUGUUAGCUUAAGUGGAAGACGGGGAGUCGGGCGAGGCGAAUAUGGUGCACUUGUCAGAUCAGUACUGACAGGAUAUGAUGAACAAGUGAAGAGUAGCAAAAUGAGGUGAUGGUAUUCUAACCCAUAGUAUUCGUGUCAUUUGUUAACUUUCUCCACAGUCAGCAUCCUUAACGAUUUAGGUUUCCCAAGCUACUUCUUAAAAGCAUCAUCAUGCUAGUUGGAUUGUUAUUGUUACUGCUUCUUGUUAUUGUUACAAGCUACUUCUUAAAAGCCUCAUCAUGCUAAUAGGAUUGUUAUUGUCAAAAUUUAAGUUUAAUACCUCACAAUGAGCAAUAGAUUUGCAUGAUGGAACGCAAAAGUAAUAAUUACUACUGAGAUUUGGCAGCUGGCAUAGCUGAUCAAAAGAAUACCCAUUCCACAAAAAAAAUAUCCAUUUAAUGUGCCUCACUACAAAAACACACAAAAGAAUAAAAACACUUUAUAGUAGAUAGCACAAUUUACAUAUACAUUAAAUCUAUUUGAAUUGUUUUCAUUCAGCACAUACACAACAAUGAGUGUUUAAAUAGUAAAUAUCGUACCGUCUUAUUUUAUUGGAACUAUCCUUCGGAAAAUAAGAGGUUAAGGGAAAAAUCAUACACAGAUGACAGAUUUAACUCGUUACUCGUAAUCACACAUGACACUUGACAGUUGACACAGUUAUGGAGAAGCCCAGUAGCGCCAUCUAGUAUUACUGAAAUCGUGCGUUUUUUAAAUUUUAAGCCCGACUUAAUAAGCCCGACCGGCCCGACUAUGCGAAGCCAGGCGAAGCUAUGGGGUGAGGGUCCCUAAAGCUAAGUUGGGUAAAACAAAAAAGUAAAGUUAGUGAAAGAUUCUCUUAGAAUCCAAAACCGGCUGCUACUUACUAGAGCCAGCAGCUGGGUGCCUUAAAGUUGAAGUGGAAGUUAGUGAAAGAUCACUAAUGUAUAGGAUUGAAUUUUGUAACUAUGCCAAGGUAACAAGCCGUCUUAUGGUAGAAAUUAUUAGGCCUUACGCCUAAGAAGUUCUAGUUGUUACUGGUUGUCUGCUGAAUGUAGAUUGUGUUCUAUUUUAAACAUUAUCUUGGUUACAACACAAAAAUUUGCCACUUUUUUGUGCCAACCUGUGACACACUUCUUUUCAAGAUUAUUUGCAUGCUACACUCACGGUAGAUGCUACACUCACGGUAGAUUGUCACCAGACAUCCUUUGAAUGGUACACCCACUGUCAGCAGCCUUACAGUGUGCUUCAUAAAUACAUCAACCCCUGAGAUAACAUUAUCGUUGGAAAUUGUGUGUUUGUUGUGGUUUUGUUUUCCACUUCUAUUAUCCACAUGCAAUUUUCACACUACUUCAUUACCUUUGUGGUGGAUAUUUUAUCAUCCUGGAAAAAGGAUUAUGGAAAUUUAUGAAUUCUAAUAUACAGCUGAUAACAAGAUUUAAUAUAUUAACAUUUCAGAAUGAGCUUUCAAUUUGAAGCUGUGAGUGUUUUAUCAGAUUAUGAAUUCCUACUUUGUAAACCAAACUUUCCUUCUACAAAUGGAUUUUGAAGUAUUGUACAUGGGUAUUAUGUGCUCUAUGAUAUCUUUGCAAAGUUUUUAAUUGAUGUUAUACUAAAAAAAUUCCCAUGGAAGGAAGUUCUUGCAGGAUCUGUUAUCGACCGUCUAUGUUAUGCAGUAAUUGGAUCUGCAGUUUAGUUAGAAACUGUUACUUAGAAAUGGGCUCAGCGUAGAAUUUAUAUGAAAAAUUAUAUUUGAUUGGAAAAAGAUCCUGGUUGAGACAAGAGAUU
Daphnia magna is the source of this 4396-nucleotide long non-coding RNA. RefSeq lists it as uncharacterized. The transcript has 15 exons. Lineage: Eukaryota; Metazoa; Arthropoda; Branchiopoda; Diplostraca; Daphniidae. The record is from RefSeq and is a predicted model, not a curated record.